This is a long non-coding RNA of Daphnia magna, 1127 nucleotides long. RefSeq lists it as uncharacterized. The transcript has 3 exons. Lineage: Eukaryota; Metazoa; Arthropoda; Branchiopoda; Diplostraca; Daphniidae. The record is from RefSeq and is a predicted model, not a curated record.
AAAUCCAAUCUUCUGUGUACGCCGUACAUGUUGUUGGAACUUCAAACACGUCAAAAGGUUCACGUUUAAUCACUGUGUUAGUUUUUCCUCUGUUGUUUGGACAAGUUAUGGUGAUUGUCAUUUCUUGUGCUGAGGUGUAUCCCCAUCUUCGGUGUCCCAGGUAUACAGUUUGUUGUCCGGUCCAUGGAGAUAAUUUCGUUGAACAUUGUACGCGGCUUCUUUUCUCAUCUUUUAGAAACAAUGCCAUUGCGCAGCUUGGCUCCCUAUGCCUUUUGUUUAUUGCUUUGCUGAUAGGGCAAAUCGAUGUGGUUGUCAUCAUGCAGCGAUGUGCUUCGUGUGUUGACAAUUCGGUAAACGCUUGUCUAUCGUUUGCCACAGCUAAGAAUGCCGGUAACGGAUGAAACUGUGCCCCUUGGGUGGCGUUUUUCGUUGGUCUUGGCAAGCUUAUUACCUCGUAUAGAGUGAAUCCAAAUGGGAACUCGAACACAGACUUGCCAGGUGUCUCCCAUUUGAAUAGAAGGGCUCAAUGACCAUCCAGAUGGCAAAAUUGCUUUUAUUUCUUUUAACACUGCUUGGAUUUGCAUAGGUGGGAAAAGUAGUGCUGGAAGUCUUUCCAUUGCCAUUGUUGUUAGGCCGACGGCAAAAUCUUCAAUCGAUUCGUCCAGCCAUGCCAAGGCUGACUUGAUUUCACGAAAGGUGUUUUCAAUGGCUGCUCUGGCUAUUUCAUGUUUUUCAACUUCUUGGGUAAUUCCAUCAAUUUUGUGAUCUGUUUUCCACGCCUCACGUUCUAGUUUUUCAAAAGCGUUUUGCAGUUCUUCAACGGCGUUUGACGUUGAUUUUGUUUCCCAAAGCGUCUCGUUGAUUAGUGACGCGUGCACUUCCAAUGCGUGAGCGAUUGAAGUGGUUUCUGUUGAUAACUUUUCAACAUGAUUGUUGACGUGUUCUAGAUCUUCUUCAGUUGACACCCCAAAGAGCCAAUUGAGAACUUUUCCUCCUCCAUCGAUUAGGCCUCUUUUCUUACGGGUUUUUUAAUUCUGCUCGUGCUCGUUCCUCGACUUCUUCUUUUAUCCGUUUUUUAAACCCGUCGUUUGGACCUUCGUAUCUGAAGUUUAGAGUGUUGACCUUUC